UAGGGAAUCUUCGGCAAUGGACGAAAGUCUGACCGAGCAACGCCGCGUGAGUGAAGAAGGUUUUCGGAUCGUAAAACUCUGUUGUUAGAGAAGAACAAGGACGUUAGUAACUGAACGUCCCCUGACGGUAUCUAACCAAAAAGCCACGGCUAACUACGUGCCAGCAGCCGCGGUAAUACGUAGGUGGCAAGCGUUGUCCGGAUUUAUUGGGCGUAAAGCGAGCGCAGGCGGUUUCUUAAGUCUGAUGUGAAAGCCCCCGGCUCAACCGGGGAGGGUCAUUGGAAACUGGGAGACUUGAGUGCAGAAGAGGAGAGUGGAAUUCCAUGUGUAGCGGUGAAAUGCGUAGAUAUAUGGAGGAACACCAGUGGCGAAGGCGGCUCUCUGGUCUGUAACUGACGCUGAGGCUCGAAAGCGUGGGGAGCAAACAGG
This 429-nucleotide ribosomal RNA is filed under the name Gemmatimonadota bacterium. RNAcentral describes it as "Gemmatimonadetes bacterium partial 16S ribosomal RNA". It matches the Rfam family "Bacterial small subunit ribosomal RNA", at positions 355 to 776 of the family's 1533-position model. Lineage: Bacteria; Pseudomonadati; Gemmatimonadota. The record is from RNAcentral.